Molecule: ribosomal RNA, 370 nt
Filed under: uncultured organism
Description: partial 16S ribosomal RNA
Rfam family: Bacterial small subunit ribosomal RNA
Source: RNAcentral
GUAGGGGGCGAACGUUGCUCGGAAUUACUGGGCGUAAAGGGUGUGUAGGUGGCUGAGCAAGUCGUUGAUGAAAUCCCGAGGCUCACCCUCGGAACUGUCUUCGAAACUGCUCAGCUUGAGGAUAGUUGAGGAGAACGGAAUUCCCGGUGGAGCGGUGAAAUGCGUAGAUAUCGGGAGGAACACCAGAGGCGAAGGCGGUUCUCUGGGCUAUUCCUGACACUGAAACACGAAAGCUAGGGGAGCAAACGGGGAUUAGAUACCCCGGUAGUCCUAGCCGUAAACGAUGGGCACUAGAUGUUUCUACUUUGAUGUAGGGGUGUCGAAGCUAACGCGUUAAGUGCCCCGCCUGGGGAGUACGGUCGCAAGGCUG